Stomoxys calcitrans (stable fly) is the source of this 1111-nucleotide long non-coding RNA. RefSeq lists it as uncharacterized. Lineage: Eukaryota; Metazoa; Arthropoda; Insecta; Diptera; Muscidae. The transcript has 2 exons. The record is from RefSeq and is a predicted model, not a curated record.
AGUCAAACGCGAAUAUAAAAUGAUUUAAAAUUUGGACCAUGUCAAACGGAGGCCGCAAAUACUUAAGGUUGUAGCGAAGCACACCAGGCCAGCUAGUACUACUAUAUAUAGGAACACUUUACCCGGGGUUAUACAGAACUUCAGGAGACUGUAAUUCGUUCCAACCCAUUACCUAAAAAAUAUUCGAAACAAUUGAACCUGGUUGAAAUUGGCUGCUUUAUUUAAAAGAAAAAAGUACUCGCAAAACUAUAAAAACAAUUUCGCUGAAAUUGGGGUGGAGGCGUAAGAGAUGUCGCCGAUGACAGCGGCGGCAGCAGCGGCAACGGCUGUUGCUUGAUUUCCGAUGAUCUCAUAUUUACAAUGUAAAUUUGUUUGCUGAUGUAGAUGCUAUGACUUUAAACAAAAAACAUGCGGAAAAUUGUAAAUCACACACAAAAAUGGGGCAGGGGGAGAGUGCGAGGAAGUUAAGCGAAAUGAAAAUAUCAGAAAUUUCGCAACCCAACUAAAUUGAAAUCUAUUCAUUUAUUCAUUUGCACAUCUAGGCGAAAAAGUUUUCCAAGCAUUGCUACUGCCGCGAAAGCAUGGGAAAAUUCAAUGCGAAUGCAAUACGAGGAAAUCAUUUUUUUUAAUUUGGAAUGGAAAAUAUUUAUUCAGAGGACGCUGCUACCGAUACGUUGGCUCAUUUAAAGCGUAAAAUGGAAAAUACGAGAAAAUCAUGGAAGCUAUGCCCAGUCACACAGGAAUGCCAAUGAACUUUAAACCCAUGAGAAUUUUCAUCAUUCGCGCAGUUCAUCUAUUUAAAGAGAAAAGGUCCCUUGGUAUAACAAAAUAUACACACUUUCCUCCCAGGACUAGGGUACGGAUUAUGAUGGCAUGUCUACAUAAAGAAAUAUCAAAAACAUAUUUACAAUAUUUUCCAAAAAAAAACUAAAAACGCACUUUAACAAUUUCAAUACCCAAUUCCGAAAAGGAAUACAGAGAGAAAAAUUGACCCGAAUAAACUUAAUUGAUGAGCACAUGGGUAUCUAAUGUACAAAAUUUCUGCCUAAUCAUGGACGAAUCGAUCAAAAUCUGAUAAAGCUCUCACAAAUAAAGUAAAGUCUAGUUGGAA